GACGAACGCUGGCGGCGUGCCUAAUACAUGCAAGUAGAACGCUGAAGAGAGGAGCUUGCUCUUCUUGGAUGAGUUGCGAACGGGUGAGUAACGCGUAGGUAACCUGCCUUGUAGCGGGGGAUAACUAUUGGAAACGAUAGCUAAUACCGCAUAACAAUGGAUGACACAUGUCAUUUAUUUGAAAGGGGCAAUUGCUCCACUACAAGAUGGACCUGCGUUGUAUUAGCUAGUAGGUGAGGUAAUGGCUCACCUAGGCGACGAUACAUAGCCGACCGGAGAGGGUGAUCGGCCACACUGGGACUGAGACACGGCCCAGAAUCCUACGGGAGGCAGCAGUAGGGAAUCUUCGGCAAUGGGGGCAACCCUGACCGAGCAACGCCGCGUGAGUGAAGAAGGUUUUCGGAUCGUAAAGCUCUGUUGUAAGUCAAGAACGGGUGUGAGAGUGGAAAGUUCACACUGUGACGGUAGCUUACCAGAAAGGGACGGCUAACUACGUG
RNAcentral lists this ribosomal RNA (497 nucleotides) under uncultured bacterium. RNAcentral describes it as "partial 16S ribosomal RNA". It matches the Rfam family "Bacterial small subunit ribosomal RNA", at positions 28 to 507 of the family's 1533-position model. The record is from RNAcentral.